Long non-coding RNA from Lontra canadensis (Northern American river otter), 256 nucleotides. RefSeq lists it as uncharacterized. NCBI's taxonomy places the organism in Eukaryota, Metazoa, Chordata, Mammalia, Carnivora, Mustelidae. The transcript has 2 exons. The record is from RefSeq and is a predicted model, not a curated record.
CAAUGAGAAGAAGCCUACAAUUCUGGGCUGAAAGCUAAGUGCCCCAUAUAUGUCUGGGUGAUGUUGAAACAGGUAACAUUUCCUGAGAAGAACUCUCCUUCUGGUGCUUUGAAGAACAUUCUGAAGACUGUAUAGGAGACAAUGCAUCAAGAAUCUAUUUAUUGAGUCCUUCUAAAACAAAAGCCAGGAACUCCCUAAUGUAAACACAUAGCGUUUAUUUUGAGGAGAAAAGACAUAGAUUAAAAAAAAAAAAAAA